Molecule: long non-coding RNA, 985 nt
Organism: Pan paniscus (pygmy chimpanzee)
Lineage: Eukaryota; Metazoa; Chordata; Mammalia; Primates; Hominidae
Source: Ensembl
AUGUAUUAUAUAGCUAGCCAUGAAGUCAUGGAGAAGAAGAGACACAUAAGAUGGCUGUUUGUCUUCAUGAUAAUUGCACUGUACUGGGGAAGAAUCGAAUACAUGAAAAUAACUCAAGAACAAAGAACUAAAAAUGAAGCACGCUGUCUUUGUUUUUGUACGUGUGUCAAGCAGCCAUCUCUUCUUUCGUCAUUUUCUUCUGAAAGAAAAAAUGACUUCCACGAAGACUUUCAGCAAUGAUCCUCCGCUGACAUCAAAAACAUGUCAGAACAAAGCAAAACCUCAAGCUCCCAAGAUUUAACAAGCACAGGCACAAGUCAGCUGAACCUGGAACAUCUGCCUUAGGAAUACUUAGUGUUUUCUAAGAACAUUCCAUUUGUUGGUCAGGAGUGAUGAAUUAUGUGAACACUGAAUUCAUCUGCCUUGAUUUAUAUAUUUAUUUUUAAAUAAACUUCCACAUUGGGGUGUUUACCCAGGGGCAGUAGAAGAGAAACCCUUCUUUUCAGGUUAGAUUAACCUCACUCUUUUUAUGAGCUCUUACAUUCAUAGAAAUCGUUUGAUAAGAAUUAGAAACUACUUUGAGGCCUCUGUCAAUUUUCAGAAUAAGAAGGAUGAAAAGAAAGACAUUAUGAAUGGGAGAGCAGCUGAUUAUUUGGAAGGAAGUGUUAGCUGUGGUUCAACAUUCAUCACCAUCCAUUCCUUGAACGUAUCUGUCAGAAUCUUUUGAUGGCCACCUUCACUUCUUUUUUCUUUUUCCUUGCUACACCAGUAAAAUCAGUCAUCCCCUCAGCAAUAAGCAUGUAAAAUGACUUCUUUUGUAGAACAAACCCUUUGUGUGUAAAUAAUUUGUUAGCCCCCUCCUCCCUUCAAGCAUUGUGUUGGGAAAAAAUAUCCAACAUAAAUUGAUUGUAUGGAUAGCCUGAUUGUAAAGCAAGAUUAAUAUGAAAACACAAGGAGUCUGCAAUAAAACCUACUAACUUAAAUC